Molecule: non-coding RNA, 1416 nt
Organism: Gasterosteus aculeatus aculeatus (three-spined stickleback)
Lineage: Eukaryota; Metazoa; Chordata; Actinopteri; Perciformes; Gasterosteidae
Source: RefSeq, a predicted model, not a curated record
CAGAGGGGGGCUUGGGUGGGCUUGAGGCGGUAGUACUUCUUCUGAGAAGUAACCACACAAUACUGAGAGGCAACAACUUUAACUGACAACGUUCUGCCCGCCGUGUGAUCAGGCCACAGGAAACCCACAGAGAAAAACGCACAUCCGUGCAAGUGGACUACAUUUGCAGCUCACACUGCUGCAAGACACACGGAUGAGAACACUAAUGCAGGGUACCAGCAAGACCUCCAAGAAGAAGGUAUGGUCUUCCUACAGCUGGAGAAAUACAAGGCCGAGCACCAUCAGCAGCAGCUCAGUCACAUACAAUGAGACGACACAUGAAGUACCUCAGGUUGUCACACUGCACCAAAUCCAAAGAUCCAAGGGCUCUGUCGUGACAUUCAGAGAGUAUAGUAGACACAGAUGAACCGAUUGGUAUUAGGACUUUUCUUUCACUGUUUUUCUUUCAGUGCACGCAAACAGAAUACCAGCCUGGACUUCAGAACCAACAAAAGCACGGGUCAGGAGGCCGGGUGGGUCAUCUCCUCUCUUCUAGUUUAUCAUCUGUGUCAGAAAAAAGCUCCACAACCUGAUCAGCAAACACCUCAAAGAAGACAGCAUGGGGAUGAAGAUGUGUGCUAUGCUGCACUGGAAAUCCAACAGACAUCACACAGACCAAAGAAGAAGUUCUGACUUCAGCACCUACUCUGGCAUCAACACUCUACACAAGGAUGUAGAGUCUAAAAAAGGAAAAUAACAACCACAAUUGUUACGUUCCCUGCUCUCAGGCAACGUAACAAAAACAAACGCGAGGGAAAAUAAGGAAACUAUUAGAGAAUAAUCAAGAAUGUAUUAGUUUUAAACAUUGUGGCAGCCAAACCAGCCACAUGCCUCUUUCCCUCUCCCGAUCCCCCUGGAUGAUGGUUUUAAAGGGGCCGGCGCUGAUGGUGCACCCAAUCAAGAUGGACCCCCAACUAAGCCUUCUGCUGGGCUGCCUGCAGAACACGGAAAAGAAAGAUACACAGGCCACCAACAAUGGUCAGGGAUGACAACAUCUAACAAUUUGAACAUUUGGAGUCAAAUAGACCAUAGGGAGAAAUAUGCUUUAGGGCGGGGCUAACUGUGAUUGACGGACUACAAAUCAAUUUCCAACCUAUUUUGAUUGACUUCUUCCCCACUUACUCUGAGGAGCACUGUAAACUCCUCACAUCCCUCCAUUUUUGACUGGACUAGGAGUUUUCCCACCUUCAAACCUUUCCCACGGUGUCAUUUCUGUUAAGGGAUAUCGACCAUUCUGUCACUUAUCUUCCGCCAUUUAAAUCUGACAGGCAAUCCUUAUUUAUGGCUUGUAUAUUACCUACAACAUGUUUUGCCGAAAAUACUGUUUGCUUAAUUUCCUCACAACACUUUUAAUAAAUAUAACUUUUUAAAAACCUU